UUAAAUUGAAGAGUUUGAUCAUGGCUCAGAUUGAACGCUGGCGGCAGGCCUAACACAUGCAAGUCGAACGGUAACAGGAAGCAGCUUGCUGCUUUGCUGACGAGUGGCGGACGGGUGAGUAAUGUCUGGGAAACUGCCCGAUGGAGGGGGAUAACUACUGGAAACGGUAGCUAAUACCGCAUAACGUCGCAAGACCAAAGAGGGGGACCUUAGGGCCUCUUGCCAUCGGAUGUGCCCAGAUGGGAUUAGCUAGUAGGUGGGGUAACGGCUCACCUAGGCGACGAUCCCUAGCUGGUCUGAGAGGAUGACCAGCCACACUGGAACUGAGACACGGUCCAGACUCCUACGGGAGGCAGCAGUGGGGAAUAUUGCACAAUGGGCGCAAGCCUGAUGCAGCCAUGCCGCGUGUAUGAAGAAGGCCUUCGGGUUGUAAAGUACUUUCAGCGGGGAGGAAGGGAGUAAAGUUAAUACCUUUGCUCAUUGACGUUACCCGCAGAAGAAGCACCGGCUAACUCCGUGCCAGCAGCCGCGGUAAUACGGAGGGUGCAAGCGUUAAUCGGAAUUACUGGGCGUAAAGCGCACGCAGGCGGUUUGUUAAGUCAGAUGUGAAAUCCCCAGGCUCAACCUGGGAACUGCAUCUGAUACUGGCAAGCUUGAGUCUCGUAGAGGGGGGUAGAAUUCCAGGUGUAGCGGUGAAAUGCGUAGAGAUCUGGAGGAAUACCGGUGGCGAAGGCGGCCCCCUGGACGAAGACUGACGCUCAGGUGCGAAAGCGUGGGGAGCAAACAGGAUUAGAUACCCUGGUAGUCCACGCCGUAAACGAUGUCGACUUGGAGGUUGUGCCCUUGAGGCGUGGCUUCCGGAGCUAACGCGUUAAGUCGACCGCCUGGGGAGUACGGCCGCAAGGUUAAAACUCAAAUGAAUUGACGGGGGCCCGCACAAGCGGUGGAGCAUGUGGUUUAAUUCGAUGCAACGCGAAGAACCUUACCUGGUCUUGACAUCCACGGAAGUUUUCAGAGAUGAGAAUGUGCCUUCGGGAACCGUGAGACAGGUGCUGCAUGGCUGUCGUCAGCUCGUGUUGUGAAAUGUUGGGUUAAGUCCCGCAACGAGCGCAACCCUUAUCCUUUGUUGCCAGCGGUCCGGCCGGGAACUCAAAGGAGACUGCCAGUGAUAAACUGGAGGAAGGUGGGGAUGACGUCAAGUCAUCAUGGCCCUUACGACCAGGGCUACACACGUGCUACAAUGGCGCAUACAAAGAGAAGCGACCUCGCGAGAGCAAGCGGACCUCAUAAAGUGCGUCGUAGUCCGGAUUGGAGUCUGCAACUCGACUCCAUGAAGUCGGAAUCGCUAGUAAUCGUGGAUCAGAAUGCCACGGUGAAUACGUUCCCGGGCCUUGUACACACCGCCCGUCACACCAUGGGAGUGGGUUGCAAAAGAAGUAGGUAGCUUAACCUUCGGGAGGGCGCUUACCACUUUGUGAUUCAUGACUGGGGUGAAGUCGUAACAAGGUAACCGUAGGGGAACCUGCGGUUGGAUCACCUCCUUACCUUAAAGAAGC
RNAcentral lists this ribosomal RNA (1556 nucleotides) under Escherichia coli. RNAcentral describes it as "bacterial SSU rRNA". It matches the Rfam family "Bacterial small subunit ribosomal RNA". The record is from RNAcentral. Lineage: Bacteria; Pseudomonadati; Pseudomonadota; Gammaproteobacteria; Enterobacterales; Enterobacteriaceae.